This is a non-coding RNA of Malus domestica (apple), 1696 nucleotides long. NCBI's taxonomy places the organism in Eukaryota, Viridiplantae, Streptophyta, Magnoliopsida, Rosales, Rosaceae. The record is from RefSeq and is a predicted model, not a curated record.
UAUAGAUAUAUAUAUUUAUUUAUUUAUUUAUUUAUUUAUACUGUGUUUUGAUCAUACAAACAUGAUGGCUAACAAUUGGUAUCAGAGCCAUUGUUUGGAUGGUUAAAAUCGUUAAGAUUGAUAUCAUAUGUGAUUUUCGAAUGAAAAGCAUGCAGCAUAAAAUUCUUAACAUGCAUAAAAGAUAUACCUAAUUCGCAGAUGAGAUCUUGCAUAGUUCAUGUCAAAUUUAAACUGUUCUGCUUAAUUGUUAGUACUUCGGUAAAUAUAAAGUUAAAGAUGAUCAGUGUCUACAUAAUUCAAUUAAUCAUAUAUUCAAGCUGCAACCGUUUAUCAUGAAAGAUUGAAUCAUGUAUUUAAGGUAGCUGUUCAUAAAAUUGCAUUCAAUAUAUGAUAUAGAGACUGUUCAUCUUACUCACAAGUGUUGAUCGUUGUUUUCUGGAUCAUACGUGAAUGGUAUGGCAUGAUUUAUGUGACACAUCAGUUGUGGGGUUCUCAUCUUGCUCACAAGUGUUGGGAAUCGGCAUGAAGGAAACUGGUGUAGCGCAUAAGUCAGUGUCAAAAGACAUAUUGAUUCAUCUUGCUUACAAGUGUUGAAUCAAUUUCGGUUUUAUAAAGUUUUGGGAUUGUUUUAAUCAAUGCAUGCAUGUUGUAUGUAUAUUCAGUGAUGAAUGCUGUGAACAUUGUUCAAACCUUAAGUGGAACAAACUACAAAAAAUGGAAACAAGACCUUGAGAUCUGUCUAGGGCUAAUGAAUUUAGACAUAGCAACAAGAGAGAAUUCUCCUCCAGAACCUGUUUCUGAUGCUGCAGUUGAUGUUAAAGAAAAAUAUGAAAGAUGACAGAAGGCUAAUCGAAUUGCUCUCUUGGUGAUUAAAAGAUCUAUGUCUGACACAGUGAGAGGUGGCAUUCCUGAAUCCGAGAAUGCCAAGGAGUUCUUAGCAUCUAUUGGCGAGAAGUUCAAAGAAUUACAUAAGGCAGAAACUGGUAAUCUCAUGAAUGAACUUAUGACCAAAAGGUAUAAUGGUAUAGGUUGUGUGAGGGAACAUAUAUUAGAAUUGCUAGAUAUUGGUGCUAAAUUGAAUGCCCUCAAAGUCCCUAUGAGUGAUCCUUUCUUUGUUCAUGUGGCACUUAACUCACUACCAAAUGAGUACUCACAAUUAAAGAGCACAUACAAUGCACAAAAGGAGAAGUGGAGCCUCAAUGAACUAAUUGCAAUUUGCGUGCAUGAGGAGUAACACAUAAGGCAGGAAGUUUUUGAGAAAAAGGUGAACAUGGUAACUGAUCACCAUAACAACACUGCAAAACAGGAGCACAACAAAGUAGCAUCGUAUCAUUCCAAAAUUGGUGCAAACAAAGGGUCCAAAGCUGUUAAGGGAAAAUGUUUCUUCUGCAAGAAACCUGGACAUAUGAAGAGACAUUGCCAAAAAUACAAAAAGUGGCUUAACAGUGGUAAAGGAAAAGGGCUACACAAGCAAAAGAGUGCCAAGAAGGGAUGAAGUCUCAAUGAUCGUUAGGAAUGGAGGAAGAGCUGCUGUUGAGUUUAUUGGAAUAGUUAGAAUAAAAUUAGAGUCUGAUUUUACAUUAGACCUUGAGAAUGUGUGCUAUGUACCUUCAAUUCGAAGGAAUUUAGAGUCAGUUAGUCAGCUAGUUAUGAAACAUUUUGUAUUUUCAAUUAAUAACAGUGGUUUUUCAAUUCA